RNAcentral lists this ribosomal RNA (824 nucleotides) under Pediococcus acidilactici. RNAcentral's name for it is "bacterial SSU rRNA". It matches the Rfam family "Bacterial small subunit ribosomal RNA", at positions 51 to 831 of the family's 1533-position model. Lineage: Bacteria; Bacillati; Bacillota; Bacilli; Lactobacillales; Lactobacillaceae. The record is from RNAcentral.
AUACAUGCAGUCGAACGAACUUCCGUUAAUUGAUUAUGAGGUGCUUGCACUGAAUGAGAUUUUAACAUGAAGUGAGUGGCGGACGGGUGAGUAACACGUGGGUAACCUGCCCAGAAGCAGGGGAUAACACCUGGAAACAGAUGCUAAUACCGUAUAACAGAGAAAACCGCCUGGUUUUCUUUUAAAAGAUGGCUCUGCUAUCACUUCUGGAUGGACCCGCGGCGCAUUAGCUAGUUGGUGAGGUAACGGCUCACCAAGGCGAUGAUGCGUAGCCGACCUGAGAGGGUAAUCGGCCACAUUGGGACUGAGACACGGCCCAGACUCCUACGGGAGGCAGCAGUAGGGAAUCUUCCACAAUGGACGCAAGUCUGAUGGAGCAACGCCGCGUGAGUGAAGAAGGGUUUCGGCUCGUAAAGCUCUGUUGUUAAAGAAGAACGUGGGUGAGAGUAACUGUUCACCCAGUGACGGUAUUUAACCAGAAAGCCACGGCUAACUACGUGCCAGCAGCCGCGGUAAUACGUAGGUGGCAAGCGUUAUCCGGAUUUAUUGGGCGUAAAGCGAGCGCAGGCGGUCUUUUAAGUCUAAUGUGAAAGCCUUCGGCUCAACCGAAGAAGUGCAUUGGAAACUGGGAGACUUGAGUGCAGAAGAGGACAGUGGAACUCCAUGUGUAGCGGUGAAAUGCGUAGAUAUAUGGAAGAACACCAGUGGCGAAAGCGGCUGUCUGGUCUGUAACUGACGCUGAGGCUCGAAAGCAUGGGUAGCGAACAGGAUUAGAUACCCUGGUAGUCCAUGCCGUAAACGAUGAUUACUAAGUGUUGGAGGGU